GUUUCAAGUUCUUAUAUUUAUUUUAUUGCUCAGCGUUUGUUGAUCAGGUGAUGGAAGAACUUUGUCGAGACCAAAUCCAACGCUCUUUAGUCGACCUAAAUCUCGUUGACAAUUCAACCCUCAACCCUAGAGAAAAAGCAAAUCCAUACCCAAGACUUCCAUUGGUCAAGUUACAAUCUAGAGUAGCCGACCCCACGUCGUCGUCGAACCAUUGAAUGCCAGCACACGUCAAGUGGAAAAUUUUCGUGUCUGCAUCGUGUCAAUCCACAGUGCAACGCUUGGAGUGUGGAUCGAUCGAUCGAUCGAUCGAGAUCUCUCUCUCUCUCUCGGCUUUUGAUGAAUGACUUCUCGCCUCCUCCUCCUCCUCCUCCUCCUCCCCAACCUCUCCCUUUACCCCAACGUAUCGCCGCGGCUCAGGGGCUCUUCCCCGGCCUCGCCCUAUCUCGGCAUCCUGCACCACGUUCGCUUCCUUCGGCGGCGGCGAUCCGCCGGCCGGAAAUGGGGUCGGGAUGGUACCGAGGUGAAGCUCGAUGAUUUCGAGAGGAUGGUCGGCUGAGGGCUUCGGGGUUGCCGAUGGCCAGAACAAGACGAAGGACGCGCGGCCGAUCGUUGUGAUCGAUAACUAUGAUAGCUUUACCUCUAGUCCAUGCCAGGUAAUGUCCUGUAACCAGAAAGACGAUGUGGUGUCCUGUAACUAUGACUGCGCUUAUUAUGGGUUGGUCUCCUUUAUUAAGAUAUAUCGGUAGUUCCUUCAAAAAGAAAUCCCCCUUUUAUUUUUUUGGCUAUC
Molecule: long non-coding RNA, 787 nt
Organism: Musa acuminata AAA Group (dessert banana)
Lineage: Eukaryota; Viridiplantae; Streptophyta; Magnoliopsida; Zingiberales; Musaceae
Exons: 2
Source: RefSeq, a predicted model, not a curated record